Molecule: ribosomal RNA, 253 nt
Filed under: uncultured bacterium
Lineage: Bacteria
Description: partial 16S ribosomal RNA
Rfam family: Bacterial small subunit ribosomal RNA
Source: RNAcentral
UACGUAGGCAGCGAGCGUUGUUCGGAGUUACUGGGCGUAAAGGGUGUGUAGGCGGUUCUUUAAGUUUGGCGUGAAAUCUCCCGGCUCAACCGGGAGGGUGCGUCGAAUACUGAGGGACUAGAGUACGGGAGAGGAAAGUGGAAUUCCUGGUGUAGCGGUGAAAUGCGUAGAUAUCUGGAGGAAUACCGGUGGCGAAGGCGGCAUCCUGGACCAUUACUGACGCUGAGGCGCGAAAGCUAGGGGAGCAAACGGG